UGCGGAGGGAUCAUUACCGAGUUUACAACUCCCAAACCCCUGUGAACAUACCUAUACGUUGCCUCGGCGGAUCAGCCCGCGCCCCGUAAAAAGGGACGGCCCGCCCGAGGACCCCUAAACUCUGUUUUUAGUGGAACUUCUGAGUAAAACAAACAAAUAAAUCAAAACUUUCAACAACGGAUCUCUUGGUUCUGGCAUCGAUGAAGAACGCAGCAAAAUGCGAUAAGUAAUGUGAAUUGCAGAAUUCAGUGAAUCAUCGAAUCUUUGAACGCACAUUGCGCCCGCCAGUAUUCUGGCGGGCAUGCCUGUUCGAGCGUCAUUUCAACCCUCAAGCUCAGCUUGGUGUUGGGACUCGCGGUAACCCGCGUUCCCCAAAUCGAUUGGCGGUCACGUCGAGCUUCCAUAGCGUAGUAAUCAUACACCUCGUUACUGGUAAUCGUCGCGGCCACGCCGUAAAACCCCAACUUCUGAAUGUUGACCUCGGAUCAGGUAGGAAUACCCGCUGAACUUAAGCAUAUCAAUAG
This 524-nucleotide ribosomal RNA is filed under the name Fusarium sp. BAB-4834. RNAcentral describes it as "eukaryotic LSU rRNA". The stretch from base 166 to 319 matches the Rfam family "5.8S ribosomal RNA". The record is from RNAcentral. Lineage: Eukaryota; Fungi; Ascomycota; Sordariomycetes; Hypocreales; Nectriaceae.